Columba livia (rock pigeon) is the source of this 1248-nucleotide long non-coding RNA. RefSeq lists it as uncharacterized. The record is from RefSeq and is a predicted model, not a curated record. The transcript has 3 exons. Lineage: Eukaryota; Metazoa; Chordata; Aves; Columbiformes; Columbidae.
UCUCACAAGGAAGCAGUUUUCUUUCCUCUGACCAAGGCAAGACACGCAACAUUUGUCUCUGCAAUUAGUCACCUUUAUUGACCAGAGCAAAAUUCACAAUGCCCAGUCUGAUGCUGGCAAAGCAGUUUCAGAGAAAUUGGAUACUUCUUGGCAAUCCCUCUUUGGGAUUCAGCAGAAGGGUUGCAGAUAAACAUGAGUGGAGGAGUAAAGAAGAAUAUGCAGAGGAGUGAGGAUGAAAAGUCUCAACAUGGAAAAGUAGAGCGUACACGGACAGGUGACAAGGCUGGGUCUCAGCAGACUGUCAGCAUCACUUCCACCUGCCUAACAGCGAGGAGGGAAGGGGCAGCAGGGCAAAGGGAGAGCCAGACCACCCGCUCUCCGCUGGCAAAUGUUGCAGGGGAAGAUUGCCAAGCUGCGUGUGAGCAAGGCUUGGGAAUGCUCAUGGGCCUGGAGACAUCUUUAUUAGGAAGGAGGAGAAUCCAGGCCAGCAAAGCUAGAAGGAAAGAGAGAAAGUCUGGAAAAAAAGUCAAGACUGGGCUCAUUGCAGGGAGUUUCAUGCAGAACUAUCCUACUAACAAUCAGGCCUUUUUAGUAACAAAAUAAAAAGCAAAAUAAGGCAAAAGCUAGCAUUUGCAAUUUCUCAAUUAAAAUGUAAUUUACACCCUGCGCUGUCUCACAGAUAAAAGCAUGCUUUGCUCACCCAAGUGUGAAACAAUAUUUACAGAAACGUUUUGUGGCUUAAUGUGCUGCUCUGACGUUACAGAUGUCUGCACGUGGACGGACACACGCGCCGGCUCUGGCCAAAGGCAGCUCCGCGUCCACAGCUCCAGGCUGGUGUCUGGGGGCCACUAGGAGUGGAAUUUCUCCAGAGCUGAGCUGGCCCUUUGUGGCCAAGGAAUAAAACCAGACUGCUAUGAAGUGCAAACCAGCAAAACCUGUGGUAGCUGAGUAGGCUGAGACCUUCCCAGGACCCUUCCCUUCCUACAGCAGCUCCUGGGCCUCGGCAGAACGUGUUUAAUCCUGUCAGCACCCAAUUUCAGGGAUUUUUUUCUGAGUGCUUAGGGAGUCUUGAGCCUAAAAUGGAGUUUUACUGGGUUGGUAGGACUGAAUAGGAGUGGGAACAAGAAUGCUCUUGUCAAGGCCUCUGUGUAGGGGGAGCAGAACUGCUGAGGGAUGCUUUACUUCCAGCAGCUGCUCAAAGAUGAAAAAAGAUGUGUGGAGAAGGGGUUGCACUCUGCUGCAUCAUUU